CUGGCCCUACGGGGCGCAGCAGUGAGGAAUAUUGGUCAAUGGCCGGAAGGCUGAACCAGCCAAGCCGCGUGAGGGAAGAAGGCGCAGAGCGUCGCAGACCUCUUUUGCCGGGGGACAAAAGGCCGGACUCGUCCGGUCCUGAGGGUACCCGGAGAAAAAGCAUCGGCUAACUCCGUGCCAGCAGCCGCGGUAAUACGGAGGAUGCGAGCGUUAUCCGGAUUCAUUGGGUUUAAAGGGUGCGCAGGCGGGGCUUUUAGCCGGCGG
This 264-nucleotide ribosomal RNA is filed under the name uncultured bacterium. Its description in RNAcentral is "partial 16S ribosomal RNA". It matches the Rfam family "Bacterial small subunit ribosomal RNA", at positions 333 to 594 of the family's 1533-position model. The record is from RNAcentral.